RNAcentral lists this ribosomal RNA (1077 nucleotides) under Belonolaimus euthychilus. RNAcentral describes it as "eukaryotic LSU rRNA". The stretch from base 1 to 193 matches the Rfam family "Eukaryotic small subunit ribosomal RNA", at positions 1641 to 1831 of the family's 1831-position model. Lineage: Eukaryota; Metazoa; Nematoda; Chromadorea; Rhabditida; Belonolaimidae. The record is from RNAcentral.
UUGAUUACGUCCCUGCCCUUUGUACACACCGCCCGUCGCUGCCCGGGACUGAGCCAUUUCGAGAAACUUGGGGAUUGUUGAUUUUGCGGUUUUCGGAUCGCUUUAUCGAUGAGAACCAAUUUAAUCGCAGUGGCUUGAACCGGGCAAAAGUCGUAACAAGGUGGCUGUAGGUGAACCUGCUGCCGGAUCAUUACUCAUGUAUUGAUCACAUACACACUUUAGUGUGCAUCCGUGUACAGUGUCACCGCCAUUGUCCAGUUGGCGUUGACUCGACACUGCAUGGACCGUGCCCGUGAUCUGGUCAUUGACUCUAUUGACCCGCUGUGUUGGAUGGUGUUUUGUUCCUAAACGCCAGUUUAGCAUGGUGUUCACAGGGCCUAACGGCUUUGCUGGCGUCUUUGCGUGGUUGAGCAGUUGUUGCCUCUUCGUCCGUGGCUGCGAUGAGACUGCGCGUUAGGGCCCAUGCCUUGCCUCUGGCAUGUUGGCUUAAGACUUGAUGAGCGCGUUGCCUUGCGCCGCCAGCACCAACUUUUUUUCACUAUUUUUUUAUUCACAUUGAUGAACAAAUUCAAGUCUUAUCGGUGGAUCACUCGGCUCGUAGAUCGAUGAAGAACGCAGCUAACUGCGAUAAUUAGUGUGAACUGCAGAAACCUUGAACACGCAAAUUUCGAAUGCACAUUGCGCCAUUGGAGCAAUAUCCUUUGGCAUGCUUUGCUCAGGGUCGCAAUCAUGAAGCGCCAGCUUAUGGGCGUAUGACAAUGCGUUAGAUCACGCGCUAUCCAUUGACGUCAAGCAAGAUGUUGUGGAAUGGCUUGUGUUCUUUCGGUAAUGUUGUCCUUGUACGUCUUGCAUGAUUCUGGUUAGUGUUGAUUUUGGCCCAAUUGUGUCUGAGUUGUUGUAGUGUGUCUUUUCUACAGCGGCUAGUAGUCCAUUAUCCUCCUAUCCAGUGUCUCUUGACGUUGUUGACCUAUUGAACUUUCGACCUGAGCUAAAGCGUGAGUACCCGCUGAACUUAAGCAUAUCAGUAAGCGGAGGAAAAGAAACUAACAAGGAUUCCCUUAGUAACGGCGAGUGAAA